RNAcentral lists this ribosomal RNA (630 nucleotides) under Passiflora gracillima. RNAcentral's name for it is "eukaryotic LSU rRNA". The stretch from base 234 to 389 matches the Rfam family "5.8S ribosomal RNA". The record is from RNAcentral. Lineage: Eukaryota; Viridiplantae; Streptophyta; Magnoliopsida; Malpighiales; Passifloraceae.
GUCAANUACACGGGAUGUUUUGGGCAUGCCAGACGUUCCCUACGGCGGGCGGGGCGGAUCGGAGCGGUGGGCUCGUUCCAUCCUCCCUCCGGCACGAACCUCGCCUCCAAAACAACAAACCCCGGCGUGAAAUGCGCCAAGGAAUCAUAAAACGAAAAAAGAGAACGAGCCCCCCGUUGUGUCCCGGGAACGGAAUUCGCACGGGUGGCCCGGUCUUUGUUCGAAAGCAAAACGACUCUCGACAACGGAUAUCUCGGCUCUCGCAUCGAUGAAGAACGUAGCGAAAUGCGAUACUUGGUGUGAAUUGCAGAAUCCCGUGAACCAUCGAGUCUUUGAACGCAAGUUGCGCCCGAAGCCUUCGGGUCGAGGGCACGUCUGCCUGGGUGUCAUGUAAUGUCGCCCCAUCCAACUCCCGGUGCGGGGGAUGUGAGAGGGGCGGAGAUUGGUCUCCCGUGCGCUCCCGCUCGCGGUUGGCCGAAAUCCGAGUUGUUGGCUGCGAGUGCCACGGCAAGCGGUGGUUGAUACAACCUUCUAACGAUGUCGUGAGCCAAGCCCACAAAAGGCUCAAAGACCCUGUUUCUCUCAACAAGCGACCCCCGGUCAGGGGGGAUACCCCCUGAGUUUAACAUU